This 342-nucleotide RNase P RNA is filed under the name uncultured Bariatricus sp. RNAcentral describes it as "Bacterial RNase P class A". It matches the Rfam family "Bacterial RNase P class A". Rfam says of the family: Ribonuclease P (RNase P) is a ubiquitous endoribonuclease, found in archaea, bacteria and eukarya as well as chloroplasts and mitochondria. Lineage: Bacteria; Bacillati; Bacillota; Clostridia; Lachnospirales; Lachnospiraceae. The record is from RNAcentral.
CAGGACAGGCGUUCGCGGCUGCAAAUGCCGAAAGGCUGCAGGUGAGGAAAGUCCGGGCUUCACAGGGCAGGAUGCCGGAUAACGUCCGGUGGAGGCGACUCCAAGGCCAGUGCAACAGAAAUAAACCGCCGGCUUUUGCCGGUAAGGGUGGAAAGGCAGUGUAAGAGACUACCGCCUGUCCGGUAACGGACAGGGCACAUGUAAACCCCAUCCGAAGCAAGACCGAACAAAAACCAUGUGGCGGCCCGUCACGUUUUAGGUAGGUUGCUGGAACCUGCUGGCAACAGCAGGUCUGGAUAGAUGAACGCUCAACGACAUAACCCGGCUUAUCGUCCUGCCUGU